This 85-nucleotide microRNA precursor is filed under the name Pan troglodytes (chimpanzee). The record is from RNAcentral. Lineage: Eukaryota; Metazoa; Chordata; Mammalia; Primates; Hominidae.
UGGUACUUGGAGAGAGGUGGUCCGUGGCGCGUUCGCUUUAUUUAUGGCGCACAUUACACGGUCGACCUCUUUGCAGUAUCUAAUC